CAGGGGGGUGCCCUGCCAGCUGCCUGCGGGCCGGGAGGGGCAGCUGUUCCCUGAGACAGGCCUUUUCCUGCUUUUUCUCUCCCGUGUCUGUCCAGAAGUGUCCACCCGAGGCGGGGAGCAACCCUGCCGCGUGUGGGGCGCGGGGCUCCCCCGGCUGAGGGGUAGGGGCGGGACCCCAGGGUCUGUGCGCAGCCGCGGCUGCCUCCCUGUGCGGCGCCCGUGGCCACAAGCCCCUGUCAGGGCCGGUGUGUGUGUGACCCUGGGGGCUGGGCUGCCCGUGGCAGGAGGGCUUGACCAAGUCGACCAUCCUGCAGGUCCCGAGGCUUCAGAGGUGCCAGGUGGGCCCUGGAGGGAGAAGCCCCCAGACCAGGGGCCAUCGGCCGCUGGCAGGUGCAGCCUCCCGGUGGGCUGAGGGAAGGACGAGGGGUGCUCCUCAUCCUGGACCCCAAUUUCCCGUGGCCGAGGAGCCACUUUGUGGGCAUGAGAGGAUAUCCCCAGGGUCCUCCUGCAUUUGCGGUGUCCAUCCGAGGCUGGGGGGGGUGGGGUCUGGUGCUGAGGGUCUGUCCUCCUGCAGCUGUCCAUUGCCCCCAUGUCACCCUUGGUGUUGUCACCAUUUUCCCGCAGCGGCCUGUGAGGACAGUGGUUCCUAUUCCCAGGGCCGGGGGUGGGGGUGGUCCCUGCCUGGCAUCUUCCCCAUGAGGCUGCAGCCCUGGGGUCCGGCCCAGCUGGGAGCCUACCCUGGCCCUCCCUGGGCCCUGCCUCCUGUUCAGAACUGGACGGGUCCCCCCACGAGGCUGGUAUGGAUUUGUGACUCCAGGCAACCUUGCAACUGAGCUCCCCGAGUGUUUGCGGCCUCGGAGGCCCUCAGUCAGUGCACAACCUUGCACGCAGCCUGCAAGAGGGGCCCUGGGGACUCAGGGGGAGGGAGGCGGACAGCCCGUGUACUUGCACUGAUGCCCCCACCACAUGUCCCUGGAAGGGGGACAGGGCCCCAGAGGGCUGCGACCGGGCUCAGCCUCCCCAGCUCUGCUCACACUGGCUUCCCCCUGUUGGUUCCUGGGGCCACAGAGAUGCCAGCACGCUGGGGCCUUCGUGUGAUUUUGGCUCAAACUGUUGUACUCCCUUCCAUCCCGCUGCUCCUGGGCUUGGUGUGGUGCCCUACGCUCACCCUGGCGAGGCCCCUGUGUUGGCAGGGCCUGGCUCCCGGGGUUGCGGAGGGGGCUCAGAGCCUGCCCAUGCUGUCCUGCUGCAGAGGCCCUGUGUGCCCAGCAGCCCCUGCUCUGGGCCCCUCGGGCCAUCCCCGAGCGGGUGCAGCGCCUCCUCCUCCAGGCCUAUGUCUGUCGUCCGUCCGGUGGGGCUGCCCCAGAGCCCAAGACACCCGUCCGCAUCCACAGCCGGCAUCCCCGUGGGCCCCGUGUCGCUUCCGCCCAGUGUCUACCUCUUGCAGCUCCCGAGUGGCCUGUGUGCUCCCCGACGGCGGCGGCUGCUGGUGGGAGCAGCCGGAACACCCUGUGAAUUGCCCGGCAGGACUCACGCCUGCCUGGCUGCUGGAGGGACGUGGUACCCAGGGGCCACCAGCAACCCCAUGGGGGUGCCAGCGUGGCUGCUCCCACGGCAACUCCGCGACCCAUGCGCACUCCCUGCACCAGUGGUUUGUUCACUUUCAUCCGUCUACUUCCAUAGGAGAGAAACAAAGGGGGGGGGGGGUGCUGCUGCUGUUCCCUGCCCUGCCCCGUGACCCGGUGUGGCCAUGUCCUAGAGGCCCUGUCCUAUUCCCGUCCGCCGGCUCCCGGGCCCUGGAACCUGUCUUCCUGCCUGACCAAAGCUCCUUGUUCCCAUGUGGCAUGUUUGUUCUUCCCGACGUGGGGGGGGGGGCUGUUCCUGUGGGAGGGCCUGCCUGCUGCCUCCUCUGCACGCACCCUGGCGGGCGGGGUGGUGGUCAGGGUGCCUCCUCUGAGGAUUUGCACUCCCUUCGGCUCCACAUAACACAUUUAGGAAAAUAG
RNAcentral lists this long non-coding RNA (2003 nucleotides) under Canis lupus dingo (dingo). Its description in RNAcentral is "lncRNA (ENSCAFG00020016262.1)". Lineage: Eukaryota; Metazoa; Chordata; Mammalia; Carnivora; Canidae. The record is from RNAcentral.